GAAUAAAAAAAAGCUGUAUAAUGCACCAGAAAAGUGGAAACUUCAAACUUUAAAUAAGGCCGUGAUUUAAACUUUACUGUUGUCUGUUUACUGUUAUAAGACUUACCUAUAACUUAAAUACUUGAUAAUAUAAUAAAUAAAAUAAAGCUAUAUAAAGCUAUAUAAAUAAAGCUGUAUAAUGCACCAGAAAAGUGAAAACUUCAAACUUUAAAUAAGGCCGUGAUUUAAACUUUACUGUUGUUUAUUGUUUAAAAUUAUCACUAUAGUCUAUAAUCUAUAACCCUACUUGCCACUAGCGCUCUAAAGAUGCGGUGAAAAUGUAUACUAAAUCCGUAUCGCGUACUGACCGCAACUGCCAAUGCUAUUUAGAUAGACGAUAGCUAACCUGUAUAUCUUUAACCGUGGUCUACAGUAGUCAUAGUCUUCUGCCCCAUAGAAUAUAGCUAAUCUGCCCCACUAAUCGGUGUAGCACGUGCAAAAUUAUGGUUACAGCACAGAGCAUAAUAUGUUUUAUGGUUACUGUUUAUCAAAAAAUGAUAAGCACUAAUCAACGGAAACUCCAAGCCAACUAUUAUUUUGAACGGUGUUGGAAAUUGUGUAUAUUUUGUUUUGUCGUUAUAACUAAUCACAACUGUAACUUUCGUGCGCAUGUACCUAUUAUUGUUGUACUUGAUAUUUUAUUCCGGUUCAGUUGUUUAAAAUGUUCAACGAUUCCGAUCCAUGUGAUCGCAGCUGUACGAAAUUGGCUACUGUAUUUCCUUCGGUUUCAAAACUACACAAUUUGAAUACAUGUUUGAACAAUUUAACUGCACUAGAUUUGAGCUCCAGUAGUUUAUGCGAAGUACCCGAAAUCGUCGGAAACCUGGGAAAUAUUGUUGAACUCAAUUUAUCAUCAAAUGAAUUAACUACACUGCCGCUUACAUUUGUCAAGCUUCAACAUUUAACACGUUUAAAUUUAUCACAUAACAAUUUUGUAGCGAUUCCUCAAUGUUUGAUGAAUGGAAUGGACCACUUAGUUAUACUUGAUUUGUCUCAUAACCAGCUUUUAAAUAUCAACACAAAACCACUCUGUGUUCAACACUUACGGUCUUUAAAUAUCAGUUACAAUUUAAAAUUGAAUAGUCUUCCACUUUGGUUAUGGUCAAUUGAAUGUACUUCAAUAGAGUCGUUAAAUUUAUCCUUUACAUAUUGUCUAGAUAAUAUUCAAGCAGAUCCUUAUUUGAACAUGUACGGCAUUGCCAGACAUUUGAAGUAUUUGAAUAUUUCAUGUACUAACGCUGAUGUUCUUAAAUUAGAUUUCAUCAAACAUUUAAAAAAUAUUAGAUCCCUUGUUUUGGAUAAUAAAGAUACAAAAAUAAAACAACAACAUAAUUUUUUCAUUAAAGUACCAUUGGUAUUUAAUUAUAGAUUUAAAUUGAUCGAUUCAUUAAGUAUGUCUAAUGUUAAUUUAUCAAGCAUUGGAAAACGUGUAUAUUUCAGUUUACCAAAUUUACGGUUGUUGAAUUUGUCCAAUAAUGCUAUUGUUUUGCUACCAGAUUCAUUGAGUCAAUUGACAAAUUUAGAAGUAUGUGAUUUUUCAAACAAUCAAAUUUUAACAGUUCCUGAAAGUUUCAGAAAUUUAAAAAAUUUGAAAACAUUAGUAUUGAAUAACAAUUGGUUAUUAUCAUUUCCAAAUAUCAUUACUCACCUUAUGAAAUUGGAGUUUUUGGAUUUAUAUAAUAAUAAAUUAGAUGCAAUUCCAUUGUGGGACAUAAACAGCAGUAUUAAAUCAGUUGACUUUGAACAAAAUGUAUUUUCUACAGAAAGCAUUACUGAAAUAAAUUAUUCAAAGCUGUUAAAAAAUCUACGAUUGUCUAUAAAUGAAAAUCGUAUUAUAGGACCUUUACAUGUUGAAGAUUCUAAUGAUCUAGAAUUUUCAAAUGAAAGUGUUGAAUCAAGCAGCUAUUUUGAUUGCAGUUCGUCAGAAAAUAGUUUUCAUGAAGGAAAUCAAGAGGAUACAAAUUUUACUCCUGAAGAAUGUUGGGAGUGCAAUUCAUAUGAGCAUACCACUGCUGUAUUUGAUCCUAAAGAAUUUGAAAAGAGUUUAUUUGAUGAAUUAAUAAAAUUAAACUCAAUAACUUAUGAAGAAAUAACUAAAGAAAAAAAUAUUUUCCACAACGUCGUAUAUUUAACUAAUGAACAUUAUUUUUGCCCAAAUGAUGAACUUCCUAAAAUAUAACCCAGUAUAUUAUGGUAUUUGUUGAAAAUCUUUAUAGUCUUAUGUCUUAAUAGAAUAUUAAAGAAAGUAUAAUACUUGUUGGUGACGAACAUUUAUUCCUUGAAUAUUAGUUAAUGACAAAAAUGAGAUUUAUAAGGAUAAUAAUCAUAUACAGAACAACUUGUAAUAAUUACUAUCUUGAGAAGUGUAGAUAAGACAAAAGAUGAAAAACAAAUAGAUGAUGGCUAUUCAACUGGUAUAUAUAGAGGCAAUAAUGCUCGUUUAGUAGAAAGUGAAUUUUCAAUAGGAUAAGAUAUGAUGGUGCCAAUUAUAUCAGUGGAAAGGUUCAAGGAAUAAAGUCAUAUAUUUAGUGUAAAUAUCUAUGUACACUGUGAUACACAUUUAUUAAAUCGUGCAGUUUCAGCAGAAAGUAACAAAAACUAAAAAGUACAAUUAAGUAAAUAAAGUCUAUUGAAAAUUGGUUAAAUAUAAUUGAAAAAAUCUAUACAUUUUUUAACACACCAAUACGAAGUGUGGUUAUAUAUCAUGUUAUUGACAUUGAAAAUAUAGUCGUAGAUGGGAGUACAGACUUCAUUAAUCACAAUAAGGAAAUUCUUAAACUCCUUUUUAUUUAUUCCAUAAUUAAGAAAAUGGUAAAAUAAAUUGAUCUGUAAAAUGUUUACAUUUCAGGGUUUACCAAAUAUAAAUAUUUGCUAACAAAGUCUACAAUCGGAAAUGAUGGUUGCUAAAAACUAUUUAAGAAAACCUGAAAAAGAUAGUAUUUCCAAAUUUUUAUAAACUGAUACAUUUUGCAUUAACAUAGCCUAUUAGUUCUACUACAUGUGAAAGGAGUUUUUUAACGAUUAUAAAAAUUAAAACAUGGUUAAGAAUAUCAAUGCAACAAA
Molecule: unclassified non-coding RNA, 3102 nt
Filed under: Sipha flava (yellow sugarcane aphid)
Lineage: Eukaryota; Metazoa; Arthropoda; Insecta; Hemiptera; Aphididae
Description: leucine-rich repeat protein SHOC-2-like, transcript variant X3
Source: RNAcentral